This 602-nucleotide ribosomal RNA is filed under the name Salmonella enterica subsp. enterica serovar Paratyphi B. Its description in RNAcentral is "bacterial LSU rRNA". It matches the Rfam family "Bacterial large subunit ribosomal RNA", at positions 1134 to 1735 of the family's 2925-position model. The record is from RNAcentral. Lineage: Bacteria; Pseudomonadati; Pseudomonadota; Gammaproteobacteria; Enterobacterales; Enterobacteriaceae.
GUAAUAGCUCACUGGUCGAGUCGGCCUGCGCGGAAGAUGUAACGGGGCUAAACCAUGCACCGAAGCUGCGGCAGCGACACUCAGGUGUUGUUGGGUAGGGGAGCGUUCUGUAAGCCUGUGAAGGUGGCCUGUGAGGGUUGCUGGAGGUAUCAGAAGUGCGAAUGCUGACAUAAGUAACGAUAAAGCGGGUGAAAAGCCCGCUCGCCGGAAGACCAAGGGUUCCUGUCCAACGUUAAUCGGGGCAGGGUGAGUCGACCCCUAAGGCGAGGCCGAAAGGCGUAGUCGAUGGGAAACGGGUUAAUAUUCCUGUACUUGGUGUUACUGCGAAGGGGGGACGGAGAAGGCUAUGUUGGCCGGGCGACGGUUGUCCCGGUUUAAGCGUGUAGGUGUGUGUUCCAGGUAAAUCCGGUUCACUUUAACACUGAGGCGUGAUGACGAGGCACUACGGUGCUGAAGCAACAAAUGCCCUGCUUCCAGGAAAAGCCUCUAAGCAUCAGGUAACAUCAAAUCGUACCCCAAACCGACACAGGUGGUCAGGUAGAGAAUACCAAGGCGCUUGAGAGAACUCGGGUGAAGGAACUAGGCAAAAUGGUGCCGUAACU